RNAcentral lists this long non-coding RNA (2202 nucleotides) under Malus domestica (apple). Its description in RNAcentral is "long non-coding RNA (MDOM_LNC006857)". The record is from RNAcentral. Lineage: Eukaryota; Viridiplantae; Streptophyta; Magnoliopsida; Rosales; Rosaceae.
UCAGAAGAUGUCCUACAACUAAUUUAUUCUGUCAAAACUGCCGAAAUCCUCAAUGCCACCAACAACAAGUUUACCUAAAACCUGGAGGAACGCAAAACAGAAAACGUGAGUGGGCAAAAACAAAUGUUUUACAAAACCAUUUCAUUUCUCAACAGUUCUAACCCCUCUUCGUAAAACAUGUAUAACUUUUCCCAUAAAUGGAAUAUAAACAUAUGCAUAAAUGUAUAUUUAAUUAUCUCAAUUCAAAUCAUGCUUCACAUAAUCAUAAUCAUAAGUAUGCCAUGCCAAGAUGCAAAUAAAAUAAGUAAUUCAGGUGAGAAUAAUUUCAUGGAAGAUAACAUAUUAGCCGAAACCCCUGCAUAAGUCUGUACGGCUGAAUUCAUAGCUCAUUAGUCAAUCUAGUCAGAGUCACUACUAUGACCUAUAUGGCACUACACUGCACACAAGUCGGAACCACUAAAAAGGGGUAUGUACAAUAAGAUUGGGUGUAAUAUAAUUAUGCUCAAUUCUACUCUCUCAUGAUAACUGGGUGAUAAUUCGCUAGUCACCUACGAGUCAGAACCACCUAUGAUGGUCUGUACGACAAGAUUGUGCACCUAAAUUGGAUCCAAUAUGAGCAUAUGGUACGAGAGGUGACAUUAUAUACAGGCCUGUGCCAUAUCUCUGGCUAAUCACUAACACCGGGGUGCAGGUUUAUGAGCUCUAUGCUUCUCAAUUAAUCACAACUUUAAUCACAUUCACAAUUCAAAAACUCAUAUGGGCUUACCUGAGCAUCCACAACACCACAUUCAUAUAUUAUGCAUCAUAUAACAAUCCGUAUACAAAAUAUAAAUCCAUAUGCAUGGCAUUCAAGGCAUACUUUCAUUUAAACGCAUUUUCUGGGAAAAUAUCAAGUGCAUAAAUAUAUACUGAAAACCAAAAGCCCACUCACUGGUAUGUCGAAGGGUUGUAGCCCCCGAGUCGCCCUUGACUGCGCUCGUCCUCAGGAUAAGCCUCCCCUAUAUGCAAAAUAACUAUCAUACAUUAUUUAAAGUACAUAGACAAAACUAGCUAAUAACUUCUCAUACAAUGCUCAAAUGGGGUGUUUGAAUAUACCAACGUGAUCUACACAACCUCACGAACAUCCCCAUAUUUUUAAAAUAAUUUUCCGACCACCCACGAGCCGGCAAGUGCAUGGCAAUACUCGCGGCCACGCGCAGUGAACCCUAACGGAAACCCUAACUGCCGUUAAGAAUAUUCCGUUAAAUAGUAAUAGAAUUCGUUAGUUUUACCUGAUGGCGUCAGAAUAUUCCGUCAACUUUGAUGAAAUAUUCCAUCUUCUUCUCCGGUUAGACUCGCCGGUCGCCAUCGCCGUUCAUCAGAAACUGGAAAAAUCACAGAAACCUUCAUAUCCUGUCCAAAUCUCAACCAAAUUCCACGAAACUUGAACCAAUUUGAAGCUUAGGACAAGUAGAACAAAACAUUACCUUUCAUCGACGGAACUUGCCGGAAAAUCCUUCGAUAUUUCGGCUAAACCUGCAACUCGUCGUAUCUCAACUUUCCGACGUCCAAAUCACUUCAUUUUUCUUCUCCGAGCUUCGUGAAGACAAUCUAAAGCUUCCUAUGCCCUUAAAAACUCCUAAAAACCUCACAUCAAUUAGUGCAUGAACAGUGCAAGAAAUUUGGGGUUCGAGUUCCAAGAUUUUUAAAGGUUUUAAGGUUUAAAAAUGGUAUAAAUCAACUCAGAGACUUGCAAGGAGUUUGAAUCUUACCUUCUUGACGUCGAUCCGUGCUUGAAAUGGAAGCUUGGAGUUUGUCCGUACGUUUGUACGGGUUUUCUGAAAAAUCCGAGAGAAAUGAGAAAGAGGGAAGGCACGGGAGAGAGGGAGAGGUCUUUUGGGUAUGUGUGUGUGGUCCUCACACUAACACAUCAUCAAACAACACUCACCAUAAAAAUUUAGGUCUAAACUUGACCAAAUUAAACUAGGGCAAUAAAAUAAAUCCAAAAUUUUUGCCCAAGUCCAACGAUUCAAUCCAUCCCUCAGGGGUAAUUCCGUCAAUUCACCUCAUCGAGAUACAAUAAGUUCGGGGAUGGGCUGUGACAGUAGCCCAAGGAGGUUUUCUAUAAGAGUAGUGCUAUUCAUGCACUCAUUUUUACUUCUCACACACUACUCUCAAUUUUUGGUUAUCAGAUAGAAUAAAUUGAAGAUAAUCAACAACAAA